Aegilops tauschii subsp. strangulata is the source of this 1093-nucleotide non-coding RNA. The record is from RefSeq and is a predicted model, not a curated record. Lineage: Eukaryota; Viridiplantae; Streptophyta; Magnoliopsida; Poales; Poaceae.
AACAGCAUCAUAGCAGUCACGAAUCCCCACCACUACUCUCUCCUCUCCUGAUGGAGACGACGCCCCUCUUCUCUCUGUGUGGUCUUUGUUCCCGUCGAGGCCUCACUUGGAGAAGCUGCUCCAAUCGGCUGGAUGUGGAGAGGGAACUGAAGUACGCGAGCGCCUCGACCUCGAGGUCGACAGCCCGCGACAACAUGUGUUGGGAUUCGUCCUUGAUCCGCCAUCACGACCUGGACGGCGUUGGAAGCCCCGGCCGAUGAGCUACAGCGUGGCUGGCGCCACCCACACUGCUUGGCCUCCGCCUCCACAUCGCCAUCGAACAUCAUCUCCUGUUCCUCCCCACCUCCAUCCCGCGUGGACGCGGACGCUGUUCACCACAUCACCAUCCUCUCCGGUCGGAGAUGCGGCUGGACUAUGAUCCUUCGGUGGUGGACGACUGCAGUUGUGAUUGCCUUCUUUACUUCCUCUUCUUAUGUAUCAGUUGCGAUGUUCUUCCCUUUUUGUCUUGUAAGCAGAGUUGUUGGCUUGUUGCUGCAUGUUUCUGAAGGAGAUCCUUUUCCUUCUGUUGUUGUUGUGCGUCCACCCAUGUUGUGGAUCAUUCCAGGCGAUUCCUUUUGAACUAGAUCCAGGGGGAGACCCCCUACCAUUUUUCAUUUCAUAAAAACAAUAGCGUGCCUCGCUCGGGUGAGCAACAACACUUUAGAACGCAGCUUCGGUGCCUUAAGGACAUGCAUCUACCACUGUUUACUGAUCUGCACAGCCGAAAGGACAUGCAUCGUUGUCCAGGAUUUGUUGUUGCAGCAGAACAGAAUGAACUUGGAGACAGCUGACCCUUUGCUGCAGUGGUGCACAGCAGUACUACCCCGGAAAGGAUUCGAGGAUGCCACAUAGUACAAAAGUAAUGAAUUAAGAGCUGAAUCUGACGAGGAAGAUUCAAUAUCAGAAGAAAAGUAGUGUGAAGCGGAAGACAAGACUGAAAAAUAAAGCAGGCUUUGACUGAUGCAAGCCAAAUUCAACCAUGACCUGUUUUACUCAAUUCCUUCUGCUGGCAGAAAGCCCAGGAUGGGAGUUCUAUUGAGUUUCUUUUUCUUGA